GCUAGCGUAGCUUAAUAUAAAGCAUAACACUGAUGAUGUUAAGAUGGGCCCUAAUAAGCUCCGCAUGCG
RNAcentral lists this transfer RNA (69 nucleotides) under Pseudogobio vaillanti. Its description in RNAcentral is "tRNA-Phe". It matches the Rfam family "tRNA". Rfam says of the family: Transfer RNA (tRNA) molecules are approximately 80 nucleotides in length. Their secondary structure includes four short double-helical elements and three loops (D, anti-codon, and T loops). The record is from RNAcentral. Lineage: Eukaryota; Metazoa; Chordata; Actinopteri; Cypriniformes; Gobionidae.